RNAcentral lists this ribosomal RNA (274 nucleotides) under uncultured bacterium. Its description in RNAcentral is "partial 16S ribosomal RNA". It matches the Rfam family "Archaeal small subunit ribosomal RNA", at positions 473 to 747 of the family's 1478-position model. The record is from RNAcentral.
AAACCAGCACCUCAAGUGGUCAGGAUGAUUAUUGGGCCUAAAGCAUCCGUAGCCGGUCCUGUAAGUUUUCGGGUAAAUCUGUACGCUCAACGUACAGGCUGCCGGAAAUACUGCAGGACUAGGGAGUGGGAGAGGUAGACGGUACUUGGUAGGAAGGGGUAAAAUCCUUUGAUCUAUUGAUGACCACCUGUGGCGAAGGCGGUCUACCAGAACACGUCCGACGGUGAGGGAUGAAAGCUGGGGGAGCAAACCGGAUUAGAAACCCGAGUAGUCC